UUGAACGCUGGCGGCAUGCUUUACACAUGCAAGUCGAACGGCAGCGGGGGCUUCGGCCUGCCGGCGAGUGGCGAACGGGUGAGUAAUGCAUCGGAACGUACCCAGUCGUGGGGGAUAACUACGCGAAAGCGUGGCUAAUACCGCAUACGCCCUGAGGGAGAAAGCGGGGGAUCGCAAGACCUCGCGCGAUUGGAGUGGCCGAUGUCAGAUUAGCUAGUUGGUGGGGUAAAGGCCUACCAAGGCGACGAUCUGUAGCGGGUCUGAGAGGAUGAUCCGCCACACUGGGACUGAGACACGGCCCAGACUCCUACGGGAGGCAGCAGUGGGGAAUUUUGGACAAUGGGCGAAAGCCUGAUCCAGCCAUGCCGCGUGCGGGAAGAAGGCCUUCGGGUUGUAAACCGCUUUCAGCCGGAAAGAAAUCGGGCGCGUGAAUAGCGUGCCUGGAUGACGGUACUGUCAGAAGAAGCACCGGCUAACUACGU
RNAcentral lists this ribosomal RNA (482 nucleotides) under uncultured bacterium. RNAcentral describes it as "bacterial SSU rRNA". It matches the Rfam family "Bacterial small subunit ribosomal RNA", at positions 29 to 506 of the family's 1533-position model. The record is from RNAcentral.